AUGUCCGCGUUAGACCCGUCGUUUAUUAAUAUCAAUGAUAAUCAAGAAAAUAAAGAGGUGAAUGAAUGGAUUCGAUUCGGAAUGCGAUUGGCAGUAAGCGCCGCUCUUCAUCCAUUUGAAUACUCGAAGGUGCUUAUCCAGCUAGGCUAUGAGCCUAUACCGCCGCGCCGCGGCACAUCCCUUUUCGGUAGACCAAUUAUGGUGCUUCCAAAUAUUUUUCAGUAUGCUGGUUACAUCAGAAAAAUGGAUGGAUUCUAUGGCUGCUACCGAGGUCUUGCGCCUAAACUGGCGGGCUCGAUUGUAAGCAUGAUCUUCAGUGAGAAAAUUGCAGAUAAAGUUGGCCUUCCAGCUAUCGAUGAUAAAGACAAAGACGACUUUGGCCUCACCGAAGAAGAACUUUACGUCCAAUUCAAAGUGAAUCUAAAGCGGGAUGUGGUUUUGAGCGUAUCCGGAAUUAUUGUGUCGCAUCCGUUUCAUGUCAUCUCUCUGCGAAUGAUGGCACAGUUUAUUGGUCGAGAAACGCUCUAUCAAUCGAUUUUUGGUUCCAUUAAAGAGAUUUACAAAACUGAAGGAGUUUUAGGCUUCUUUGCUGGAUUAGUUCCAAAACUACUUUGCGACGUUGUGUGUUUGGUGUUGACAAGUACGACAGUGUUCGUGCUUAACAAAUAUGUUAUUAAGGAUAAAAUUGGCAGACAGUAUAAUGCAGGUUUUGUGCAGUUCGCCUUCUCAAGCAUCUUAUAUCCUCUUCAAGUGGUCUCCACUUGCAUGUCGGUGACGAGCUCACGUUUAAUGGCUGGCCGACCUCCUAUAAUGCCAGAAUACAAAAACUGGGUUGAUUGUUGGAAUGACUUACAAACUCGGGGCCAACUUAAGCGUGGUAGUUCGUUGUUUUGGAGGUCUGUUGGAGGAUCAUCAAAAGUUGUCACCCUUGGAAAGCGCGGGGACUUUGCGCCCUUACCCACUAUUUCAAAAUACCAAUAAGUCAAGCAUUUCAGUUAUUACCUCAAUCACUGUGCAAACGAUGCAUUUGAAAUAUAUUUUUCGCUGUUGAUUUUCAACGCAAUACAUUAACUAGCUGUAUUUGGUGAUGACCAUUUUUAGGAUACGAGAUUCAAAUUGCAAACGACAUGGACAGCACCGAAGUGCAUCUUAAAUUAAAGGAAUCUAGUUCAUAAAUUAUCCAGCAUUUGUUAAUUAUCUGGCUGGACUGAUUACAAACAAGAAGUUGGGAAUCUAAAGGGAUUCCACACCAGUUGGAAAUUAAAUAAAACUGCCCCUGUUCUGUUUUAAA
This 1291-nucleotide unclassified non-coding RNA is filed under the name Rhagoletis pomonella (apple maggot). Its description in RNAcentral is "mitochondrial carrier homolog 2, transcript variant X1". Lineage: Eukaryota; Metazoa; Arthropoda; Insecta; Diptera; Tephritidae. The record is from RNAcentral.